UGGCAGUGGCUGUUGGAGGAUGAUAGGGA
This 29-nucleotide non-coding RNA is filed under the name Homo sapiens (human). Lineage: Eukaryota; Metazoa; Chordata; Mammalia; Primates; Hominidae. The record is from RNAcentral.